This 75-nucleotide transfer RNA is filed under the name Verrucomicrobia bacterium ADurb.Bin018. Its description in RNAcentral is "tRNA-Gly". It matches the Rfam family "tRNA". From Rfam's summary of the family: Transfer RNA (tRNA) molecules are approximately 80 nucleotides in length. Their secondary structure includes four short double-helical elements and three loops (D, anti-codon, and T loops). Lineage: Bacteria; Pseudomonadati; Verrucomicrobiota. RNAcentral also lists the same sequence under 6 other names. The record is from RNAcentral.
GCGGGAGUAAUUCAGCGGUAGAAUGUCAGCUUCCCAAGCUGAACGUCGCGGGUUCGAUCCCCGUCUCCCGCUCCA